AACGCACAUUGCGCCCCGUGGUAUUCCGCGGGGCAUGCCUGUUCGAGCGUCAUUUAAACCAAUCCAGCGUGCUGGGUGUUGGGCGCCGCCUCCGGGCGGGCCUUGAAAUCAGUGGCGGCGCCGUCCGGCUCUAAGCGUAGUAAUACUUCUCGCUAUAGGGCUCGGGCGGACGCUGGCCAGCAACCCCCAAUUCUUAAGGUUGACCUCGGAUCAGGUAGGGAUACCCGCUGAACUUAA
Molecule: unclassified non-coding RNA, 237 nt
Filed under: uncultured Helotiaceae
Lineage: Eukaryota; Fungi; Ascomycota; Leotiomycetes; Helotiales; Helotiaceae
Description: sequence contains ITS2
Rfam family: 5.8S ribosomal RNA (bases 1-52)
Source: RNAcentral